UACGUAGGUAGCGAGCGUUGUUCGGAGUUAUUGGGCGUAAAGGGCGCGUAGGCGGCCAUGCGUGUCUUUCGUGAAAUCCCUCGGCUUAACUGAGGACGUGCGGAAGAAACUGCAAGGCUUGAGUCCGGGAGAGGGGGGUGGAAUUCCCAGUGUAGCGGUGAAAUGCGUAGAUAUUGGGAGGAACACCGGUGGCGAAGGCGGCCCCCUGGACCGGUUCUGACGCUGAGGCGCGAAAGCGUGGGUAGCAAACGGG
Molecule: ribosomal RNA, 253 nt
Filed under: uncultured bacterium
Lineage: Bacteria
Description: partial 16S ribosomal RNA
Rfam family: Bacterial small subunit ribosomal RNA
Source: RNAcentral